Molecule: non-coding RNA, 72 nt
Organism: Parelaphostrongylus tenuis
Lineage: Eukaryota; Metazoa; Nematoda; Chromadorea; Rhabditida; Metastrongylidae
Source: the annotation of a GenBank genome assembly
GCGUCGGUAGUGCAACGGUUAGCAUACGCUCCUGGGAAGAAUGAGAUUUGAUCUUCAAUCCCGGCUGACGCA